GAGUCCAAAAGUCCGUAUCGGUGCACUAGCGCUCAAUGCUUAUGCCCUCUCGAUUGGUCCUCCGCCAGCCAAAGCUGGUACAUGCAUGGCAAUGGAGUAACAACUAACAAUGACACAGAGAGAGAGAGAGAGAGAGACGAGAGACGAGAGCAAACGAACAAGUGAAAAGGAAGCUGCAUAGAGGAAGACGAUUUCUGUGAUUCUUUCAACAGAGGCAGCUCCACCAAUGACCAUUUCGCAGAAAUUGCUUCCAAUAAGGACUAAUCUCAUUCUUGAGGUGCCAUUUUUGAGAUUCUAAGUGGAGGUUGGCUGAUUAUGGAACACAUUCUUCUUCCAUGUCCUUCUUCCAUCAAUCAUCUCCUACCUCAUUCUCGAGCAGCGGUUGCAACCUGUCGCAAGCGCUUCGUUGUAAGCUGACAAAGGGCCUAAGCGGCGUCGUUUCUUCUCUCACAUUCUCCUGAACUGGGAUUUUCUCGUCUUCGACAAGAUUGGGGUGGGAGGAGGAGACACAGGGAAUAGGAGUCAUCUUAAUCACAAGGCCAUUGAGAAGGGCUUUGAGUAUUUUGAGAGUCAAUGUUAGGAUCUAUUUUUCAGUAAAUGCAGUAAAGCUGCUUAAACAUGCAGAUCCUGUUUUGUAUGCUACAAUAACUGACCAAAGCUCAUCCAUGGUGUUGCAGGACAUUCAACUAUCCUACAAGUGCCUUGACCAAAAUAUGUAACUGGUAAAACAAAAUUGGUAAACUUGCUAAUCAGUUUUGGAAAAUUUUCCUGAGAUCUGCUCUUCCCUUAGUGUUAUAGAUUGUGUUGAUACAAUUUCUAAACAACAAAUACAUGAGAUGGACUUCUUGCAAGUCAUUGUUGCAGUUUGAAAUAAAGGGCUCAUCAUUUACUUGCCAUACAGCUAUCGAAACUUAUGCAUGCUUAGCACUCAUCUAAUACAAGCACUUUUCUUUUAAAUGCAGAAUGAAUUAUAAUGCCAAGAAAUUAUUAAUUUUCAUCACGUCUAGUGUAGAGGAUGCCUGUCAUUAAUGCUCAACAGCUACUUUUGCAGAAGAGACUGAUGAUCCACUUCUGAGCAUCUACCUUCUGUAUCCUCUCAUACCCUUCUGUUUCUUGAAACAUAGUACUGACAGAUGUUAUCACAUGAGGUAUAAGGAAGGUUAGUACAAGAAAAAAAAGUUUAAGUGAAAAAUAAAACAAGUAUAAGGACUUGAUCUCAGCUUUUAAAGCUUAUUAACAUUAAAAAGCAUGGCUAGUUUGAGGGCUAAAUCUAGACUUGUUCUAAAUUUUCUUCUUUUCUUGUUUUAUUACCCCUAAUAAUUGAACAUUCAAAAACCUAAUCCUUAUGUAAUUACCUAACCUUUUCUCAGCAAUUGGUCCAUCAUAUUUAAUCCUAAAUCUACUAACUUCUCAUUGUCCCUGAAAACUUGCAUUCCAUAUCUUCAUUUCCUGCAUGUAAUGCAGCCCAAGCAAAGAACAUCUUUACUCAAUUUUAUUCACUAAUGCUAAUAUCUUUAUGCAAGUUAUGAAUUCAAGCCAGAACGCCAUAAUUUUCUUACUCUGCAUUACAAAAUGAUGAUUAUUCAUGAGUGGUAAGAAAUAAUUUGACAUAAAUUUGUUCUUACCUCUGUUUACAGAUGGUUUUAGGUGACAAACUUGAGUGGAAGGCAUUAAAUACACAGGAGUUGAUGUUACUAGUUAAACUUUGAGUCAUUUUUAAAAGACAAUGCUUUUUAGUAUACCAUCCUUGCACUUGAGAAGUUCAAAUUUCAGUAUCAUGAGUAUCAAAUAUGUGAAAAAUAUUACAGAUGAAUAUGAUUCUAAAAUGAAAUAGGUAACACCAAACCACCUUUUUCAUGGACAUUCAAGAGAGAAUGACAAUGAUCAAGGAUCAAGUAUGUACUUCUAAUUUCUAUGUUAUUUUCCCUGCUAAACACCACAAAUAUUUGUUCUAUUUGGUUAGUUGAUCCUGUUUGACAGAACUCAUAUUGCAUUUUUAUUACAAUUGGUUAGCAAACAUCCUCUUCCUUUUUAAAGCAAAUUUUAUGUUGUUUUGUGUUUUCAGCAUGCAUCCCUAUGCAACAAAAUCUGUAUGCUAAUAGUUAAGCUUACAACUUCCUUGGGGGAUAAACCCUCAGUAUUGACAUGUCAAGAUGUAGCACUUGAUGUUAAAAUUCUUAACGUCUCAUCAUCAAAUGGUGACUUUUCUUGUUACUGAAUGAGGCUAUAAUCACUUAAUGUUCCCCACUUAUUUUGCCUCAUUAAUUAGUUAAUGGAGACACUUUGAAGCUUAUCCUUAGUAUUUCUACUUGCUUUUCUUGUCUCUUUUGUGUAUUUUCCUGUACGCCAGGUGUCCGCUUUGGAUAUUUGUAAUUAAUAUCAGCUAACAAAUGUGCUUUUCUUUUUCCUUUUUAUCCAUCAGUAUUAUGCACAAAAGUAUUCAUCUUUUUCUUUAUCCUAAUUUGUAACCGGUGUAUCCUAUUUUUCAAUUAUUAUCAUUUUCUUUCCAUUUGAUUGAUAUCCUGCUUUUAAUAUCAUUCACUUGAUUCUGACUUUCUAGAAUUGUUUAGUUGAUACGGGCUCAUCUCAUGACGCCAAGAUUAUUAUUUCUCAUUUUUAUGUGAAUAUAUUAAUGGGCUUUUUUUUUGGGGGGGGGGGGGUGUUUUACUUCUUCUGUUGUAUGAAUCCUUUGCUAAAUUAAAUUAUUUGUCCUCCAUAUACUUCCAAUUUCUUCUCACAGUAACUGAAAAGUGUAAAUACAAAUUUAUGGAUUGAGCAUAGAGUACUAUAAUAUUAGGAUCGCCCUUAUGGCUGACUACCAGUCUACCUUAGAGACAGAUGGACCGAUAUGUAUGUGAUUGUGUCAAACUGUAUAUUUUAACUAAAGGCAUCUAGCUCAGGAAGUGGAACAGAAGUCGGUCAUUGAUUAACCUCAUAAAUCAAUCUAGUAUAUCAAGAAAUUUGUUACCCUUCCAAUCCUUUUAAAUCACCAACAACCAAAUAUAUAACGAAAGAAGUUAUCAUGUCUCACUAAGUGUUUCAAUUAUGGUUCUUCAGUUUCCAUUUGGUAUCAUUAGUUUUUGACUGAUAAGUCUGAUAUACAUCAAAAUAAGAGAUCGUGAGGAACAGUAGACUUCUAACAUAUUCCUUUGUCUAUAUGCAGACAUUAUAUAAUGAUUUUUCGUUUGUGGAAUAAACUGUUGCGCAGAUUUUGACAAUUUAAACUCUUGAAAUUCUCCAAUGGAGAGUAAUCUUGUCAUCAUAUUAGUGGCCUACACUAUGAAUGUUGCUGCACUUGCGUAGUGUUCAAGAUUCUUGCUGCUUUUUUUGUCCGUCUUUUGCGGUUGUCUUGAAAGGGUUGUUAUGUGAAUAUGGGCUAUCUGUCAUCAAAUCUAAAUGUGACAAAAUUUUGCAAUCAACUUGGACUUCCAAGUUUAUUGCGUCAAUCAACACUUGAGCCGAAAGAAAUGGUUCAGUGCAUUUGUUCUUCAUGCUAUUGAUAUAUUUUCCUACUUGAAAUGUUUUCUUCAACUACACUUCAUUGUCAUAGUGGGUUCACAUUCACAUAGUGGAAGCUACAUAUUAUUGAAAACUACCUGUCGAUGAUGGCAGGUGUUUAUUUUUUAAAAUAUCCCCUUCAAAUAUACCUUUUUGAGGGUUAAACUUCAAACUAGUUAAUGAAACCCUCAAAGAUUAUUAUUGUUUCUUUAGUUCAUGGUGGGAGCUAUACAUUAUUUGAAAAGUACCUUACUGUGAUGAAGGCAUGUGCUUAUUUCUGCAGAUAUCACCUUCAAGUGCGCUUUUUGGAUGGAAAGUCCAAAACUAAAAUAGUUGUUGAACCUGUCAGAAAAGAUCUGUUUUCCCUGUUUAAAGAAACAUAAAGUUAUUAUUCUUUGAUCCCUGAAGUAUACAUCAAAAUGCAUCUAGUUUUUAUUAGAGAAUGUAAAGUUGUUGUAUUACAUCAUGGUUAGUAUAAAAAUUCAUUUGAAGGAAUGAAUAUAUGCCAACAGUUGACAUUUGCAUCCUUGUCUUCUACCUAAUACCCACAAGCUGAAAAAGUGUGUUGCACUCAAAAGAAGAAUUUUUUUUUAUUCUACUUCUUAGUUUCCACAACUAAAUUUUAUUUUUCAAAGAACUAUAUUUUAUCUUCUGAAGAAAAAAAAAAGUCAAGAUAGUUGUGAGAGGUAUUCAUGAUAUCACAAAAUAGGAAAUGAAAAUGAUUGAAAUAGAAUAUACAUUGGAAGAAGCAUUAGCAAUGAGAUGUUUUGUAAUGCUUAGUUUGGCAGGUAGGUGUACUCUUCUUGUGUUAAGAUAAAGAAACUAAGGAAACCUUUUCAGAUGGUUCUGAAGCUAGCUUUCAGCAGUUAUACAGUUGAGAAGUUUAGUUAACUUGUGGCCCCAGAAAUCCUUAUUCUCAAAAUUAGGUGACUAGGCAUCCUUUCACACCAUAUCAACUAGGGAAUUGUCCAACCUUUUUCAUCCAAACCUCAAACAGAAAAGGACUUUAUCCGACGGAUCUGCUAUGACUAUGAAGAUUACUUGUCUUUUGUAUUUGCCUUAGUAUAAGCUUUCCACCAAUUAGAUGUUAAUUAGCAACAACAUUAAUUCUCUCCACCAAUUAGAUUAAGUUAAGCAUCUUUGAUUUGAAUAUGAUCACUAGACUCAUACCAGUGACUAGUCGUAGGCAGUUCAAACAAAUGGCAAUACCUUGUCAAUGGUCAUAUUCUGGUGAUCAAAUGGGAAGGGUAUGUGUCCCAAGAAAUAGAAAAAGAAAAUAAUCUAAAUACAAGUUGUACUAUUUUUUCUAUUGUUUUACUUUUCUUUUGGCAUUGAACAGCGGCUAAGAGACUGAUGCAACAAGAAAUUGUAGAGCCUGGGCUGAAGUUGUUAUCAAUGCACACGUGCAGAAGAAAUUGAAGAGCAAAACUAAGUCUUGGUUGGGAAUGAAAAAAAUCUGUGAAGGCUACAGGAGUAGGUAAAACAGGUUUACUGGAAUCUGCUAAUCUGCUAGAGGUGGAGAUUGCCAUUUGCCAUUAGCCAUUGCAGGGAUUGCAUUUAAAAUUGUUGAGAUUAUGAAGGUCAGAAAUAAGAGAGAGAGAGAGAGAGUUGUUAAGAGUGGAAGAAAAGGGCUGAGAGGUAGCAGUGAGAGUAACCAAUCAGUUGGGAAAUGGUGGGUGUAAGAUGGGAGAUGGCUUUCCCUCGCUGUUUCAACAAGCAAUUUCUCCUACUUGGAGAAUGGACCAGAAGGAAAUGCCGACAGUUUUCUCUUUUUUAAAAAGUCGGACUGGGGACUCAAAUAUAGAUUUAUCUGCAUUAUGCCUUUAAUUUAAGGUAAAGGUGAGAAAAAUAAGGUUAUGUAAGUGCUGGAUUUUUCAUUUUUAACUGUCGGGUUAUGAAUUGAAAUUUAAUUAA
This is a long non-coding RNA of Manihot esculenta (cassava), 5412 nucleotides long. RefSeq lists it as uncharacterized. The transcript is spliced from 7 exons. NCBI's taxonomy places the organism in Eukaryota, Viridiplantae, Streptophyta, Magnoliopsida, Malpighiales, Euphorbiaceae. The record is from RefSeq and is a predicted model, not a curated record.